AUUGAACGCUGGCGGCAUGCUUUACACAUGCAAGUCGAACGGUAACAGGUUAAGCUGACGAGUGGCGAACGGGUGAGUAAUGCAUCGGAACGUGCCCGGUCGUGGGGGAUAACGCAGCGAACGUUGCGCUAAUACCGCAUACGAUCUGAGGAUGAAAGCUGGGGACCGUAAGGCCUCGCGCGAUCGGAGCGGCCGAUGUCAGAUUAAGUAGUUGGUGGGGUAAAGGCUCACCAAGCCAACGAUCUGUGGCUGGUCUGAGAGGACGACCCGCCACACUGGGACUGGUACACGGCCCAGACUCCUACGGGAGGCAGCAGUGGGGAAUUUUGGACAAUGGGCGAAAGCCUGAUCCAGCAAUGCCGCGUGCAGGAAGAAGGCCUUCGGGUUGUAAACUGCUUUUGUACGGAGCGAAAAGGUCUCCUCUAAUACAGGGGGCUCAUGACGGUACCGUAAGAAUAAGCACCGGCUAACUACGUGCCAGCCGCCGCGGUAA
RNAcentral lists this ribosomal RNA (493 nucleotides) under uncultured bacterium. Its description in RNAcentral is "partial 16S ribosomal RNA". It matches the Rfam family "Bacterial small subunit ribosomal RNA", at positions 30 to 523 of the family's 1533-position model. The record is from RNAcentral.